Molecule: ribosomal RNA, 465 nt
Filed under: uncultured bacterium
Lineage: Bacteria
Description: partial 16S ribosomal RNA
Rfam family: Bacterial small subunit ribosomal RNA
Source: RNAcentral
GACGAACGCUGGCGGCGUGCUUAACACAUGCAAGUCGAACGGAAAGGCCCUGCUUGCAGGGUACUCGAGUGGCGAACGGGUGAGUAACACGUGGGUGUUCUGCCCUGCACUUCGGGAUAAGCCUGGGAAACUGGGUCUAAUACCGGAUAGGAGCCAUUUUUAGUGUGAUGGUUGGAAAGUUUUUUCGGUGUAGGAUGAGCUCGCGGCCUAUCAGCUUGUUGGUGGGGUAAUGGCCUACCAAGGCGGCGACGGGUAGCCGGCCUGAGAGGGUGGACGGCCACAUUGGGACUGAGAUACGGCCCAGACUCCUACGGGAGGCAGCAGUGGGGAAGAUUGCACAAUGGGCGCAAGCCUGAUGCGGCGACGCCGCGUGGGGGAUGACGGCCUUCGGGUUGUAAACUCCUUUCGCUAGGGACGAAGCUUUUUGUGACGGUACCUAGAUAAGAAGCACCGGCUAACUACGUG